CUCUCAUUUUUAUUACCUACCUGACCCCUGAAGGGUUUGCCUUUUCCACCUCUCGGUCAGGGUGGGGACAAAUCAGAAAAUGCUGAGUGCCAGGCUGAGCAGGGUAGACUUUGUCUUUGAGUAAGCUGAGUUUUGAAGGAUGUUAAGAAGGGACUUGACAUAAGGAAGUCAAUGGUAUGUGGGAAAUAGUGAUUGACUGUGUAUAAGGACUUAAGGGGAAGCGUUCUUCUUUUUUUUGAAACGGAUUCUCGGUCUGUCUUCCGGGCUGGUGCGAUCUCAGCUCACUGCACCCUCUGCCUCCCAGGUUCAAACGAUUCUCCUGUCCCAGCCUCCCGAGUAGCUGGGAUUACAGGUGUGAGCCACAGCCCCCGGCCG
Molecule: long non-coding RNA, 375 nt
Filed under: Homo sapiens (human)
Lineage: Eukaryota; Metazoa; Chordata; Mammalia; Primates; Hominidae
Description: novel transcript, sense intronic to HKR1
Source: RNAcentral